RNAcentral lists this ribosomal RNA (482 nucleotides) under uncultured bacterium. RNAcentral describes it as "partial 16S ribosomal RNA". It matches the Rfam family "Bacterial small subunit ribosomal RNA", at positions 28 to 507 of the family's 1533-position model. The record is from RNAcentral.
GACGAACGCUGGCGGCGUGCCUAACACAUGCAAGUCGAACGAUGAAGUAGGGACACGCGGCCUUCGGCUCAAUUAUCACUUGGGAUUAGCCGCAGAGGUGUGAGUAACUCGCGGACAAGCUUCCUCUUACAAAGGGAUAGCCUCGGGCAAACGAGAUUUCGACCAUCUGUCACCUUCAGUAGGCAUCUUUAGAUUGUUAAAGCUAGGACGGGCAGGGAUGGGAUCCCUUCCUAUUAGCUAGUUGGUAGGGUAAACGCCCACCAAAGCGACGAUGGAUAACCGGGAUGAGAGGAUGAACGGUCACACUGGAACUGAGACACGGUCCAGACUCCUACGGGAGGCAGCAGUGGGGAAUAUUGCACAAUGGAGGGAACUCUGAUGCAGCGAGGCCGCGUGAGCGAUGAAGGCAUUCGGGUCGUAAAGCUCUGUUAUCUGGGAAGAUAAUGACGGUACCGGAAGAGAAAGCCCCGGCUAACUACGUG